Molecule: ribosomal RNA, 279 nt
Filed under: Triticum aestivum (bread wheat)
Lineage: Eukaryota; Viridiplantae; Streptophyta; Magnoliopsida; Poales; Poaceae
Description: partial small subunit ribosomal RNA
Source: RNAcentral
AUGUACUGGGUGCCUGCCUACUUCAUGCAGUGCUUCUUCUCGUUUCUGCAGACUAUGCAGCGCAGCGAGGGGUUCAAUGCUGUUUUGAAGCGGUACGUGGGCCCUGGCAACUCAUUGCUACAGUUUGCCAAGCAGUACACAGCUUUGCAACAAAAAAUACUGGGAUCUGAGCUACAGCAAGAAGCGAACACCGCACUAAAGCAGCCAAAAAUGCUAAUGUAUUUACCGAUGGAGAGGCAAAUGAGCAAGAUAUACACCAAAAAGAUCUUUAACAAGUAA